RNAcentral lists this long non-coding RNA (289 nucleotides) under Homo sapiens (human). RNAcentral's name for it is "non-protein coding lnc-MAP3K5-2:1". The record is from RNAcentral. Lineage: Eukaryota; Metazoa; Chordata; Mammalia; Primates; Hominidae.
UUACAUUUCUUUGAUGUGCAGAAAAGACUGGACCAUAACAAAGAUCAUUGGAUGACAAUCCAUGCUGAAUUGCCCCACGAGCUUUCUGCUUAAUGCUAUGCUUUCAAAAAAGAAUGUAUAAGUGGAAUUGGUAGUAUCUAGGCAGAGAAAGAGUACAAGAUACAAUUUGAUGGUUUCAUAGAAUGUAUGUUUCAACAGAAAAUGAUGAAACAUAAGUAUCAUCAAGAAGCAGCAGGCUGCGCUCAUAAAGGAAGGGAAGUAUACCCCUUCAUUGCCACAUGCGCAAGGA